Molecule: Y RNA, 100 nt
Filed under: Prolemur simus (greater bamboo lemur)
Lineage: Eukaryota; Metazoa; Chordata; Mammalia; Primates; Lemuridae
Description: Y RNA (ENSPSMG00000022765.1)
Rfam family: Y RNA
About the family: Y RNAs are components of the Ro ribonucleoprotein particle (Ro RNP), in association with Ro60 and La proteins. The Y RNAs and Ro60 and La proteins are well conserved, but the function of the Ro RNP is not known.
Source: Rfam by way of RNAcentral
GGCUGGUCCAGUUGGCGGUGUUCACAACUAAUUGAUCACAACGAGCUACAGAUUCCUCUGUUCCUUCCCCACUCCUACUGCUUCAUUUGACUAGCCUAAC